RNAcentral lists this ribosomal RNA (528 nucleotides) under uncultured Gammaproteobacteria bacterium. RNAcentral describes it as "bacterial SSU rRNA". It matches the Rfam family "Bacterial small subunit ribosomal RNA", at positions 51 to 572 of the family's 1533-position model. The record is from RNAcentral. Lineage: Bacteria; Pseudomonadati; Pseudomonadota; Gammaproteobacteria.
ACACAUGCAGUCGAGCGGAGAGAGGUAGCUUGCUACCGAUCUUUAGCGGCGGACGGGUGAGUAAUGCUUAGGAAUCUGCCUAUUAGUGGGGGACAACAUUUCGAAAGGAAUGCUAAUACCGCAUACGUCCUACGGGAGAAAGCAGGGGAUCUUCGGACCUUGCGCUAAUAGAUGAGCCUAAGUCGGAUUAGCUAGUUGGUGGGGUAAAGGCCUACCAAGGCGACGAUCUGUAGCGGGUCUGAGAGGAUGAUCCGCCACACUGGGACUGAGACACGGCCCAGACUCCAUACGGGAGGCAGCAGUGGGGAAUAUUGGACAAUGGGCGGAAGCCUGAUCCAGCCAUGCCGCGUGUGUGAAGAAGGCCUUAUGGUUGUAAAGCACUUUAAGCGAGGAGGAGGCUACUUUAGUUAAUACCUAGAGAUAGUGGACGUUACUCGCAGAAUAAGCACCGGCUAACUCUGUGCCAGCAGCCGCGGUAAUACAGAGGGUGCAAGCGUUAAUCGGAUUUACUGGGCGUAAAGCGCGCGU